GCCUUUGUGGUGUAGUGGUCAGCACGCUGGGCGCGUAUUCCAGAGGUCCGUGGUUCGAAUCCCGGCGAGGGCA
This 73-nucleotide transfer RNA is filed under the name Stegodyphus mimosarum. It matches the Rfam family "tRNA". From Rfam's summary of the family: Transfer RNA (tRNA) molecules are approximately 80 nucleotides in length. Their secondary structure includes four short double-helical elements and three loops (D, anti-codon, and T loops). The record is from Rfam by way of RNAcentral. Lineage: Eukaryota; Metazoa; Arthropoda; Arachnida; Araneae; Eresidae.